RNAcentral lists this long non-coding RNA (351 nucleotides) under Canis lupus familiaris (dog). RNAcentral's name for it is "lncRNA (ENSCAFG00000059265.1)". The record is from RNAcentral. Lineage: Eukaryota; Metazoa; Chordata; Mammalia; Carnivora; Canidae.
GUUGAUACAGUGUUUUGGGUGAACUUGACUGUGGUUUUCUUAACUAUUUUCUGAAUUGUUAGUACAACGAUGUCUCUUUACAAUAGUUACUGCACAGAGGCGGUCUUAUUUGAUCUUCUUCUCAAAAAAGGCUGUUUCUUUGUUGUUCUCAGGAAGGCGAAAUAUUCUUCCAUUUUCAGCCCAGCAGAGUGGAAUUUAUACCCAAACAUCCUCAUCAGAUUGACAAAGCAUCCUGCAGGGACAUCAUGGAGCUCAUUUAAUCUCUGGGAGAGGUGUUUGAUGAGUGGAAGGGUAAUGCCAGGACUUCAGCCACAGAAGUCUUGGCUUUCUGGCAUGAGCAAUAAGAGCUGA